GGAUUUUGGGUGGUCCUGUAUGGAGCCAGGAGUUGGGUCUCUUCCGACUCAAGAUAUCCUAUGAUCCUGUAAUUCUAUCAAAUUAGCCUUACAGUCCACCUGGACAAAAUUCCUGGAUGAAAAAGGAGGAUGUGUUUAUGUGCUGUCAGAAGAGAGUACAUGGACACUGUUGCUCAGACAUCUACAAAGAGAAGGCAGGAAAAGGUAUGAAGAGAGCUGGUAUGAAGGCUGCCUAUUUUGGGGGUGAGAAAUGAAGGAUUAAAGAAAAAAUUUCAGCAUUCUUUGGAAGGAAUGCAGAAAUUUUCCUGACUCUUUGUAGCACAGAAUUUUGUCUAAAGAAUCUUGUCCAUGAAAUUGACUAAUGAGUUAGGAUUUGUCUGUGACAUUUUGUUAAGCCUCUUUCAUUUGUAGACGUCUCCAAACACUCUAUGGAACUAACGUAAACAUACCUAGACUCAUUGAUAGAAGUUAGGUACCUAAAACACUUCAGAGGGCUUUUCUAUAAAUUCUCAUCCCCAUGAUGCAAAAUGAAUAAUCAAAUGGCCAAAAAGAAAAUUUAACUCUAAAAACAUAUCGUAAUGCUAGAUUGACGUGGUCUACCCAUGAUUCCAGAUCUGCAUACAGAAUUCAUAGGUGGACUGUAUUUCACCAUAGGUGGAACUGACACUCCAAGUAUAAAAAGUGCAAAUACUGAGAGGUGCAAAAUCUGUACUGAGAGCCAGACCUAAAAGGUAUGCCAAAACAGCAGACAGAGGGCAAGUCUCGGGCC
Molecule: long non-coding RNA, 769 nt
Filed under: Numida meleagris (helmeted guineafowl)
Lineage: Eukaryota; Metazoa; Chordata; Aves; Galliformes; Numididae
Description: lncRNA (ENSNMEG00000004702.1)
Source: RNAcentral